Molecule: ribosomal RNA, 253 nt
Filed under: uncultured bacterium
Lineage: Bacteria
Description: partial 16S ribosomal RNA
Rfam family: Bacterial small subunit ribosomal RNA
Source: RNAcentral
UACGUAGGGUGCAAGCGUUGUCCGGAAUUAUUGGGCGUAAAGAGCUCGUAGGCGGUUUGUCGCGUCGAAUGUGAAAACCCGGGGCUCAACUCCGGGCCUGCAUUCGAUACGGGCAGACUAGAGUUCGGUAGGGGAGACUGGAAUUCCUGGUGUAGCGGUGAAAUGCGCAGAUAUCUGGAGGAACACCGGUGGCGAAGGCGGCAUCCUGGACCGGUAUUGACGCUGAGGCGCGAAAGCCAGGGGAGCAAACGGG